Molecule: ribosomal RNA, 2313 nt
Filed under: Triticum aestivum (bread wheat)
Lineage: Eukaryota; Viridiplantae; Streptophyta; Magnoliopsida; Poales; Poaceae
Description: partial small subunit ribosomal RNA
Source: RNAcentral
AGCCAGCAGCGGAAGGCGCUCAAAGCACUCUCCAAUCUCCAUGGUAUCGACGCGAUUGCUGCGGACUUGUCGGGCGGCAGGAUCACCGUCACCGGCGUGGUCGACCCUGUCGAUGUUGUGGGCAAGCUGCGAAGGUUGUUUGGGAACGCAGAGAUCGUCUCGGUCGAUGUUGUCGGCAAGGAGGAGUCCGAGAGGAAAGGUCCUCCUCCCAAAAUAGUGGAAUGUCCCUAUCCCUAUCCCUUCCCCUAUCCUCCUCCUCCUCCUCCUCCUCCUCCUCCUCCUCGGUACGAGUUUACAGUCGGGUUCUUGCACAGCAUCACAGACAAUUUCUCCGAGGAGCGCAUCAUUGGCCGUGGUCGGCAUGGACUAGUCUACAAGGGAGUGCAGGACAAUGGGGUAUGCAUUGCUGUGAAGAAGCUUCACCUCAUGUCGGGGCUUGACGAUGAGGAAUUCAAAAAUGAGUUUAAUAAUCUUAUGAGGGUCGGACAUCAAAAUACCAUACCGUUGGUUGGUUACUGCCAUCAUAUAGCACAGGUGCUUGUUGAGCACAAUGGAAAGCAUGUUUCUGCUCGAGUAGAAGAAAGAUAUUUAUGCUCCGAAUACAUGGAGGGAGGAAACCUUGACAAGCAUCUUUCUAAUGAACCAUGUGCACUUGCUUGGCACACAUGUUACAAAAUAAUUACAGGGGUAUGUGAGGGUUUACAUUACCUUCAAAAAGGAGUUGAGUAUCCUAUUUACCAUCUGGAAUUAAAACCUAACAAGAUUUUGCUGGAUAACGACAUGAUACCCAAAAUUGGAGGUUUUGGCUUCUCUAGACUCUUUGAUACAACAGAAACCUUCAAUACAUCAGAAGUUGCGCAAACAAGUGUAUACAUGCCACCAGAAUACAUCAGCAAACGGCAAAUCACACCAAAAUUUGAUGUAUUCAGUCUCGGCAUUAUAAUCUUGCAAAUAAUGGCAGGAAAGGAGAGCUACACCAAAUGUGUAGACAUUCUCCCCGAAGAGUUUACUGAACUUGUAUAUGGAUUCUGGGUAAAUAGGAUGCAGGGCACAAUAUCGAAGCAUACUUCACGUGAAGUUAGAACAUGCAUCGAAAUAGCUCUAAAAUGUGUGGAGUCCAGUCACGUGAAGAGGCCUAUUAUAAAUCAGAUCAUACAAAGACUAAACAAGAUUGAUAUUGUUGAGUGCUCAUCUAUAGGUGAGCUAUAUAGGACAAGGGAGUUUGCGUUUGAGUUAUUAGAACGUAUAACAAAUGAUUUUUCUGAUCGGAACAAAGUUGGCAGUGGCGGAUAUGGAGAAAUUUACAAGGGAGUGUUGGACAAUGGAGAAGAGAUUGCUGUUAAGAGACUGCAUCAAAUGGUGUGCAUUGAUGACGAGCAAUUUAAGAAUGAAGUUAAUAAUCUAAUGAGGGCCCAACACAAAAAUAUCAUACAUUUAGUUGGCUACUGCCACCAUACAUCACAAAUAUUUGUUGAGUACAAAGGAAAACAUGUGUCUGCUAGUGUGGUAGAAAGGGCGAUUUGUUUCGAAUACAUGCAGGGUGGAAGCCUUGACGAUCAACUUACAGCUGAAUCCUGCAAACUUGAUUGGGACAAAUGUUACAAAAUUAUAAAAGGAAUAUGUGAGGGUUUACAUUACCUUCAUCAUGUUACUCCCAUUUACCAUCUGGACUUAAAACCCGCAAAUAUUUUGUUGGAUAAGAAUAUGAUGGCAAAAAUUGGUGAUUUUGGGUUGUCAAGACUCUUUGCUUCAGAGCAAACCUAUAUAACAGCAUCCCGAGAUCUUAAAGGAACACUUGGAUAUAUGCCACCAGAAUACAUCAACGGAAAAAAAAUCAGUCCAAAGUUUGAUGUAUUCAGUCUCGGGGUCAUAAUCAUACAAAUAAUGGCAGGAAAGGAGGGCUACUUCAAUUGUCGAGACACCCAUCCGAAAGAUUUUAUUGAGCAUGUACAUGAAAAAUGGCGAGUGAGGCUGCAGGCAACAAUGUCGUCCCAUGUAUCUGAAGAAGUGAGGUCAUGCAUCGAAAUCGGUUUAAAAUGUGUGGAGGAUGACAGAACUCGAAGGCCUGCCCAUAUUGUUAAUCAAUUAAGUAACAUUGGUAUUGCUAAGCAUUCACCAGUAGGAAGAAGUGAGGACACGCAUCGAAAUAGUGUUAAAAUACCCCGCAAAAAAAAAGAAAUAGUGUUAAAAUGUGUGGAGGAUGACAGAACGCGAAGGCCUACAAUAACCCAAAUUGUUAAUGAACUAAGUAAGAAUGGUAUUGCUACAAGUUCAUCCAUCAGCCAGGUACAUAUUCUCUGCUCUGACGGAUAA